This 784-nucleotide non-coding RNA is filed under the name Olophrum piceum. The record is from RNAcentral. Lineage: Eukaryota; Metazoa; Arthropoda; Insecta; Coleoptera; Staphylinidae.
UUAAAGUUUUAAUUUAGCUUAAAAAAUUAAUAAAAUGUUUUUUUACAUGUAAAUUUUUGUGUUGAUUUAUAUAAUUUUAAAUAAUUUAUAUAUUUAUAUUUUUCGCAGUGAUUAUUUUUAUAUAUUAAGGAAACUUUGAUUUAGAAAUAUAUUAUAGUAUUGACAAAAUUUGUGCCAGCAGUUGCGGUUAUACAAAUAAUACAAUUAAUUUAUAUUAGUAAAAUAGUUAAUUAUAAUUAUUAAAAUUAUAAAUUUAUAUUUAUUAAGUGGAAUUUUAAAUAUAAUUAAAUUUUUAAAAAAUCUUAUGAAACUAUUAAAUUUUUAUUUAAACUAGGAUUAGAUACCCUAUUAUUUAAAAUGUAAAUAAAAAUUCUAAAUUAGUAUUAGUUAUAUUCUUUAAAGUUAAAGAUUUUGGCGGUAUUUUAGUCUUUUCAGAGGAACUUGUUCUAUAAUCGAUAGUCCACGAUUAAUUUUACUUAUUUUAAUAAAUUUGUAUAUCGUCGUAGUUUGAAUAUUUUAUAAGAAUUUAAAUGUUCUUAAUUUUUUAUUAAAAAAGAAAUCAGAUCAAGGUGCAGUAGAUAGAUAAGUAGUAAUGAGUUACAAUAAUAUUAUUUAUAUGGUAUAAAAUCUGAAAAGGUUUUAUUAAAGUGGAUUUGAAAGUAAUAUAUUUUAUUUUAAAUAUGUGAUUUAAGCUCUAAAAUAUGCACAUAUCGCCCGUCGCUCUCGUUUAAAAUGAGAUAAGUCGUAACAAAGUAGAUGUACUGGAAAGUGUAUCUAGAAUUAA